Molecule: unclassified non-coding RNA, 184 nt
Filed under: uncultured fungus
Lineage: Eukaryota; Fungi
Description: sequence contains ITS1
Source: RNAcentral
GUUUUUGUUUAAUAUAAUCACUCAGAGAUUCUCAAGACGACAGGGUUUAGGGGUCUUCGGCGGGCGCCUUGCGGCUACGGCCCCGCCCUGGGGCCGCCCGCCGAAGCAGAUUCAGGUAGAUAAACAGUGGUUUCAGAGCUUUUGCAAGCCUGUAGUGAUCCCUCCGCAGGUUCACCUACGGAGA